GGAACUGAGACACGGUCCAGACUCCUACGGGAGGCAGCAGUGGGGAAUAUUGGACAAUGGGCGAAAGCCUGAUCCAGCCAUGCCGCGUGUGUGAAGAAGGUCUUCGGAUUGUAAAGCACUUUAAGUUGGGAGGAAGGGCAGUAAGUUAAUACCUUGCUGUUUUGACGUUACCGACAGAAUAAGCACCGGCUAACUUCGUGCCAGCAGCCGCGGUAAUACGAAGGGUGCAAGCGUUAAUCGGAAUUACUGGGCGUAAAGCGCGCGUAGGUGGUUCGUUAAGUUGGAUGUGAAAGCCCCGGGCUCAACCUGGGAACUGCAUCCAAAACUGGCGAGCUAGAGUAUGGCAGAGGGUGGUGGAAUUUCCUGUGUAGCGGUGAAAUGCGUAGAUAUAGGAAGGAACACCAGUGGCGAAGGCGACCACCUGGGCUAAUACUGACACUGAGGUGCGAAAGCGUGGGGAGCA
This 463-nucleotide ribosomal RNA is filed under the name Pseudomonas sp. LOT1a. RNAcentral's name for it is "bacterial SSU rRNA". It matches the Rfam family "Bacterial small subunit ribosomal RNA", at positions 315 to 770 of the family's 1533-position model. Lineage: Bacteria; Pseudomonadati; Pseudomonadota; Gammaproteobacteria; Pseudomonadales; Pseudomonadaceae. The record is from RNAcentral.